GUGCUUGCUUUGGCAGUACCUAUACUUAAAUUGGAAUGAUACACAGAAGAUUGGCCGGGCCUCUGUGCAANAAAACUAUGCUUCUAAAAUACAUUUGUAAUUAUUAA
Molecule: small nuclear RNA, 107 nt
Filed under: Ursus americanus (American black bear)
Lineage: Eukaryota; Metazoa; Chordata; Mammalia; Carnivora; Ursidae
Source: RNAcentral